AAGAUUACCCAAGUCUGGUUGAAGGGAUCGGUCUUGAAAACCGACAGGCGGUGAAAUCCGCGCGGGGGUUCGAAUCCCUCAUAUUAGUGC
RNAcentral lists this transfer RNA (90 nucleotides) under Spiroplasma endosymbiont of Heliconius demeter. Its description in RNAcentral is "partial tRNA-Ser". It matches the Rfam family "tRNA". Rfam says of the family: Transfer RNA (tRNA) molecules are approximately 80 nucleotides in length. The record is from RNAcentral. Lineage: Bacteria; Bacillati; Mycoplasmatota; Mollicutes; Entomoplasmatales; Spiroplasmataceae.